CGUGUAUACAAGUAUGAAUAAAUACUUAAUAAUUAUACUAGUAAUUAAUAGUUAAUACCUAUUUUUUUUUUAUAUUGUUCCUAACAGGUGCACCAUAUAACCCGCAUGCAAGUACCUAUUCGACAUAUCCACUAGCCCCAUUCUAUCCGCCACAAGAUUACAAUUGUCAUGUUCAUUAUAAUCCUCAUCACCACCACUAUCGUCGUCAUCAUCACCGUCAUCACCAUGAUGAUUGUUAAAAAUAAGAAUGGAUCCUUAGGUGUCGUUGAAAAUAUAUCCAGUUACUUUGAAAUGCAGAAUAAUUAUUUUCGAAUUGUUUAAACUUUUACUAACC
This is a long non-coding RNA of Adelges cooleyi (spruce gall adelgid), 334 nucleotides long. RefSeq lists it as uncharacterized. The transcript has 5 exons. Lineage: Eukaryota; Metazoa; Arthropoda; Insecta; Hemiptera; Adelgidae. The record is from RefSeq and is a predicted model, not a curated record.